This 253-nucleotide ribosomal RNA is filed under the name uncultured bacterium. RNAcentral's name for it is "partial 16S ribosomal RNA". It matches the Rfam family "Bacterial small subunit ribosomal RNA", at positions 524 to 776 of the family's 1533-position model. The record is from RNAcentral.
UACGUAGGGUGCAAGCGUUAAUCGGAAUUACUGGGCGUAAAGCGUGCGCAGGCGGUGAUGUAAGACAGUUGUGAAAUCCCCGGGCUCAACCUGGGAACUGCAUCUGUGACUGCAUCGCUGGAGUGCGGCAGAGGGGGAUGGAAUUCCGCGUGUAGCAGUGAAAUGCGUAGAUAUCGAGAGGAACACCAGUGGCGAAGGCGAGUCCCUGGACAACUCCUGACACUGAGGCACGAAAGCUAGGGGAGCAAACAGG